This 225-nucleotide ribosomal RNA is filed under the name uncultured bacterium. Its description in RNAcentral is "partial 16S ribosomal RNA". It matches the Rfam family "Bacterial small subunit ribosomal RNA", at positions 939 to 1172 of the family's 1533-position model. The record is from RNAcentral.
AUGUGGUUUAAUUCGACGCAACGCGAAGAACCUUACCAAGUCUUGACAUCCCUUGACAGACAUAGAAAUAUGUAUUCUCUUCGGAGCAAGGAGACAGGUGGUGCAUGGUUGUCGUCAGCUCGUGUCGUGAGAUGUUGGGUUAAGUCCCGCAACGAGCGCAACCCUUAUGGUCAGUUACUACGCAAGAGGACUCUGGCCAGACUGCCGUUGACAAAACGGAGGAAG